CUGUACGGAGGCAUGGGAGGUCUAUACGGAGGCGUGGGAGGUCUAUACGGAGGCAUGGGAGGUCUGUACGGAGGACUUGGAGGCUAUGGUGGUCUCUACGGCGGAAUUGGAGGAUACGGAAUGGGAUUGGGAAAAGGUAUCGGCUAUUAUUGAGUUAUUAUCACCUGCAGUGUGAUGCUGGCUAUUUAUGUAUAUUCUCAAACCAAUGGAAUUGGUUCA
Long non-coding RNA from Haliotis rufescens (red abalone), 219 nucleotides. RefSeq lists it as uncharacterized. The record is from RefSeq and is a predicted model, not a curated record. NCBI's taxonomy places the organism in Eukaryota, Metazoa, Mollusca, Gastropoda, Lepetellida, Haliotidae. The transcript is spliced from 3 exons.